This 2762-nucleotide long non-coding RNA is filed under the name Homo sapiens (human). Lineage: Eukaryota; Metazoa; Chordata; Mammalia; Primates; Hominidae. The record is from RNAcentral.
GCUGGUUGACUGGGGCAGCCCAGAACACUGGGGAGACUAGAUCGAUAGGGCUGCACAGAGGUGGCACAGUUGUGCCAGAGGGCCAGACUUUGGCAGCGUGUAAGGUCUGAGGACAGGGGCACCGGAGGCCGAGGAUGAGAGGCCAGUGCCUGUUUCCAGGCAGCCAGGGCCUCAGAAACUCCGGCCGGAGCACUCACCCGUCGGUGGAGGCCGUUACCAGGGCCACCUUAUUUGCGAGCGGGUCCCGGCGGGUCAUCCCGGAGCUGGCCAUCCGCACCGAAUUCCAAGCCCGGGCACAGAGGCCUAGCAGCCCCGCCUUGUGCAUGGAUCAGACCAGCAAGUGCCACUUCGGAUAAACCCUUUGGACUCCUAACUCCAAUCAGGUGUCUGCUUUGUUGAGGACUCACAGACACAGUCUCCUUUCUUCAAGAUCUUUACAAUGCAAGACCUCACUAACACACAGGGAUGGUCUCCCAGAGGGUCUGUGCUGUUCCUUCACUCAGAACAUCAAGAUGCACUGAAGUAAGGAUCCUCUAUUCUACAGUUCCUGCUAGCUGAGCUAUUCCAUGGGGGCUUCAGCAGGAAAUUCCAAGGUUGGCUUUGACAAGCUAAGGCCGGCUGGUGGAGCACAUCGAGUUCUGGAGGUUCAUGUGUGUUUUCAUGAAGAUCUGUCUGCCCGUAGCAGAUAAAGAGUUGUUGCCCCACUCCUCCUGGGGUCUUCUAUUUUCCUGGGAGGAAUUUCUGGAUUAACUGAACACACACACACACACACACACCCUUUUGAAGCAUCAACAGUAAUUCUGAGUUCUUAGGGACAAUGCAGAUUAAAUCCACAAUAAGAAAGACAACUAUGGCCAGGUGUGGUGGCUCACGCCUGUAAUCCCAGAACUUUGGGAGGCUGAGGCGGAUGGAUCACCUGAGGUCAGGAGUUAGAGACCAACCUGACCAACAUGGAGAAACCCCGUUUCUACUAAAAAUGCAAAAUUAGCCGGGCAUGGUGGCAGGCGCCUGUAAUCCCAAAUACUCGGGAGGCUGAGGCAGGAGAAUCACUUAAACCCGGGAGGCAGAGGUUGCAGUGAGCCAAGAUCGCGCCAUUGCACUCCAGCCUGGGCAAGAAGAGCAAAACUCCAUCUCAAAAAAAAAAAAAGAGUACUAUUGAUCCAGAGGUGACCAGACUAGCCUCACUGGAGAUAAUAGGUGACAUUAUUAUGCAAAGUGGUUUCAGUUCCCUUGUCUUGUUUUUGGAAUAGUAUAAGAGGCCUACAAUACGAAUAAAUAAGGCCCAUCACAAGCCUCACCAAAGGACAAAACUAAUCCACUUCUGAAGAAGGCUCUUUGUUGGGCCAGAUCAAAUCCUUGGACAGAACUGUACUCUUAAUCUCUGUAGUGAAAGUGGGGGGUAGUUUAAGAAUUUAUUAACCUUCUACCUUGAGCAAUCCCUCAGAAGUAAGAGGUGUCAGGCCUCUGAGCCGAAGCUCAGCCAUUGUAACCCCUGUGACCUGCACAUAUAUGUCCAGAUGGCCUGCAGGAGCCAAGAAGUCUGGGGCAGCUGAAAAACCACACAAGAAGUAAAACAGCCAGUUCCUGCCUUAACUGAUUAACCAACAUUACAACAUUCCACCAUUGUGACCUGUCCCUGUCCUACCUUAACUGAUCAAUCGACCUUGUGACAGUCUUCUUCUGGACAAUGGGUCUUAUCAUCUCCCCACCAUGUACCUUGUGACCCCCUCCUCUGCUAACAAUAGAUAACCACUUUUUACUGUAAUUUUCCAUUACCUACCCAACUCCUAUAAAGCAACCCCUUCCCCAUCUCCCUUCACUGACUCUGUUUUCAGACUCAGCCCACUUGCACUCAAGUGAAUAAACAGCCUUGUUGCUCACACAAAGCCUGUUGGUGGUCUCUUCACACAGAUGUGCUUGACAAAAGGGAAGGGUGGAUUUGUCCUUCUGGUUACAUAUGUUCUGCUCACUCAUUUUGAAUUUAAUUAAACAAGGAUUGCCCUUACCUUUUCAUACUUUGUAAGAAACCAUAAAUACUUAUGCACCAUGAUUUUUUUAAAGAAACACUUUUUAUUUUGAAGUAAUUAUAGUCUCAUAGGAAGUUGCAAAAGUAGUACAUAGAGUCCCUGAGUACUCUUCCCCCAGUGGUGACAACUGUAGUAUAAUAUCAAUUCUGGGAAAUUGACAUUGGUACAAUACCAAAUAUACUAUGCCUUUUUCUCUAAGGCAUGAUGUUGCAGUAGCAUCCUUGUACAUGUAGCUAGGAGAACUUGUACUAAGCCCAGAUAAAUAGUUGAAGUACAAGGGCAAGGAGUGUGUCUUUGAUAUUUUAAUAGAAAUCACCUAUUGCCCUCUAGAAAAGCUGUACCCUUUUCCAGUGGCAGAGAACCUUCCUGAAAGGCAGUCCUGUGUAAUGGUGUCCAUUUCAUCACACCCUUAAAACACUCAGCUUUAACAAACAUGCAGAUUUUUGCUGAUGUGGGAGAAAAUAUUAAUUAUUAAUGAUAUUAAGGUGAUUAUCUUUUCGUAUGUUUAUAGAUAUUUGUAUUUCUUUUUAAAUGAACUGCUCAUGACCUUUGUCUACUUUUAUUUGGGUUUACUUCUUUCUCAUUUAUUCCUAUAAACUCUUUAUAAAAGGAAAUUAACCAUUUGAUUGUCAUAUGUUGUGAAUAUUUUUACCAUUUUGACUUUUGAAUUUAUGUCUUUUUAAUGAAUUGUAGAAGUUUAAAAUCUUUAUGGAAUAAAUUUAUUUAGUUUUUUGU